UAUACAAUCUACCCCCUACUGUGGGAUAGCCCAGAGAAAUUUGGAUUAAGACCACAUGGUACCAUUUUACGGCAUCGUAUUAAUGGUUAAAGGUUACGGUAGGGGAUGAGUAUGCGUCCCAUUAGUUAGUUGGCGAGGUAACGGCUCACCAAGACCGCGAUGGGUAGGGGCCCUGAGAGGGGGAUCCCCCACACUGGUACUGAGACACGGACCAGACUCCUACGGGAGGCAGCAGUGAGGAAUAUUGGACAAUGGGCGGGAGCCUGAUCCAGCCAUGCCGCGUGCAGGAAGAAUGCCCUAUGGGUAGUAAACUGCUUUUAUACGGGAAGAAAAAGAGCUACGUGUAGCUUACUGACGGUACCGUAAGAAUAAGGACCGGCUAACUCCGUGCCAGCAGCCGCGGUAAUACGGAGGGUCCGAGCGUUAUCCGGAAUUAUUGGGUUUAAAGGGUCCGUAGGCGGGCCGAUAAGUCAGUGGUGAAAGUUUGCAGCUCAACUGUAAAAUUGCCUUUGAUACUGUCGGUCUUGAGUUAUAGUGAAGUUGCCGGAAUAUGUAGUGUAGCGGUGAAAUGCAUAGAUAUUACAUAGAACACCGAUUGCGAAGGCAGGUGACUAACUAUAUACUGACGCUGAUGGACGAAAGCGUGGGGAGCGAACAGGAUUAGAUACCCUGGUAGUCCACGCCGUAAACGAUGGAUACUAGCUGUCCGGGUCCUUGAGACCUGGGCGGCCAAGCGAAAGUGAUAAGUAUCCCACCUGGGGAGUACGUUCGCAAGAAUGAA
This 781-nucleotide ribosomal RNA is filed under the name Zobellia sp. SRO_20. RNAcentral's name for it is "bacterial SSU rRNA". It matches the Rfam family "Bacterial small subunit ribosomal RNA", at positions 118 to 898 of the family's 1533-position model. Lineage: Bacteria; Pseudomonadati; Bacteroidota; Flavobacteriia; Flavobacteriales; Flavobacteriaceae. The record is from RNAcentral.